This 67-nucleotide transfer RNA is filed under the name Siobla xizangensis. RNAcentral's name for it is "tRNA-Asn". The record is from RNAcentral. Lineage: Eukaryota; Metazoa; Arthropoda; Insecta; Hymenoptera; Tenthredinidae.
UUAAUUGAAGCCAAAAAUUAGGCAUAUUAUUGUUAAUAAUAGAUUUGAAUAAAAAAUUCCAAUUAAA